This 463-nucleotide ribosomal RNA is filed under the name Horelophus walkeri. RNAcentral describes it as "partial 16S ribosomal RNA". Lineage: Eukaryota; Metazoa; Arthropoda; Insecta; Coleoptera; Hydrophilidae. The record is from RNAcentral.
AUAAAUAAAUUUUAAUCCAACAUCGAGGUCGCAAACUUUUUUAUCGAUAAGAACUCUCCAAAAAAAUUACGCUGUUAUCCCUAAGGUAAUUUUAUCUUUUAAUCACUUAUAUGGAUCAUUUAAACAUAAAUAAAUGAAAUAAUAAAAAAAAAAGUUAAGUAAAUUUCUCCAUCACCCCAACAAAAUAAUUUUAUAUAUAUUAUAAAAUAAAAAUUCCUCAAUUUAAAAUUUAUAAAACUAUUAAACUCUAUAGGGUCUUCUCGUCUUUUAACAUUAUCUAAGCUUUUUAACUUAAAAAUAAAAUUCAUUAAAAUUUAAAUUAAGACAGUUACUUUCUCAUCAGACCCUUCAUACAAGCUUCUAAUUAAGAAACUAAUGAUUAUGCUACCUUUGUACAGUCAAAAUACUGCAGCUAUUUAAUUUUCAUUGAGCAGGCCAGACUUUAAAUUUAAUACAAAAAGAC